This 253-nucleotide ribosomal RNA is filed under the name uncultured Undibacterium sp. RNAcentral describes it as "partial 16S ribosomal RNA". It matches the Rfam family "Bacterial small subunit ribosomal RNA", at positions 524 to 776 of the family's 1533-position model. Lineage: Bacteria; Pseudomonadati; Pseudomonadota; Betaproteobacteria; Burkholderiales; Oxalobacteraceae. The record is from RNAcentral.
UACGUAGGGUGCAAGCGUUAAUCGGAAUUACUGGGCGUAAAGCGUGCGCAGGCGGUUAUAUAAGUCAGCUGUGAAAUCCCCGGGCUUAACCUGGGAACUGCAGUUGAGACUGUAUGGCUAGAGUGUGUCAGAGGGGGGUAGAAUUCCACGUGUAGCAGUGAAAUGCGUAGAUAUGUGGAGGAAUACCGAUGGCGAAGGCAGCCCCCUGGGAUAACACUGACGCUCAUGCACGAAAGCGUGGGGAGCAAACAGG